CGGUACGGGUCAUGAGAGUGAGAGCCCGGAGACGGACUCUGAGACACGAGUCCGGGCCCUACGGGGCGCAGCAGGCGCGAAACCUUUACACUGCACGACAGUGCGAUAGGGGGACACCGAGUGCGAGGGCAUAGAGCCCUCGCUUUUCUGAACCGUAAGGAGGUUCAGGAACAAGGGCUGGGCAAGACCGGUGCCAGCCGCCGCGGUAACACCGGCAGCCCAAGUGAUGGCCGAUAUUAUUGGGCCUAAAGCGUCCGUAGCUGGCCGUGCAAGUUCGUCGGGAAAUCCACUCGCUUAACGAGUGGGCGUCCGGCGAAAACUGCUCGGCUUGGGACCGGAAGAUCCAAGGGGUACGUCCGGGGUAGGAGUGAAAUCCCGUAAUCCUGGACGGACCACCGAUGGCGAAAGCACCUUGGAAGGACGGAUCCGACAGUGAGGGACGAAAGCUAGGGUCUCGAACCGGAUUAGAUACCCGGGUAGUCCUAGCCGUAAACGAUGCUCGCUAGGUGUGGCGCAGGCUACGAGCCUGCGCUGUGCCGUAGGGAAGCCGUGAAGCGAGCCGCCUGGGAAGUACGUCUGCAAGGAUGAAACUUAAAGGAAUUGGCGGGGGAGCACUACAACCGGAGGAGCCUGCGGUUUAAUUGGACUCAACGCCGGACAUCUCACCAGCUCCGACAGCAGUAAUGACGGUCAGGUUGAUGACCUUACCCGACGCUGCUGAGAGGAGGUGCAUGGCCGCCGUCAGCUCGUACCGUGAGGCGUCCUGUUAAGUCAGGCAACGAGCGAGACCCGCACCUCUAGUUGCCAGCAGCAUCUUGCGAUGGCUGGGUACACUAGGGGGACUGCCGUCGCU
This 853-nucleotide ribosomal RNA is filed under the name Natronomonas pharaonis. Its description in RNAcentral is "bacterial SSU rRNA". It matches the Rfam family "Archaeal small subunit ribosomal RNA", at positions 265 to 1115 of the family's 1478-position model. Lineage: Archaea; Methanobacteriati; Methanobacteriota; Halobacteria; Halobacteriales; Natronomonadaceae. The record is from RNAcentral.